GAUGAACGCUGGCGGCGUGCCUAAUACAUGCAAGUCGAGCGAACAGACGAGGAGCUUGCUCCUCUGACGUUAGCGGCGGACGGGUGAGUAACACGUGGAUAACCUACCUAUAAGACUGGGAUAACUUCGGGAAACCGGAGCGAAUACCGGAUAAUAUAGUGAACCGCAUGGUUCAAUAGUGAAAGACGGUGUUGCGGUCACUUAUAGAUGGAUCCGCGCCGCAUUAGCUAGUUGGUAAGGUAACGGCUUACCAAGGCAACGGUGCGUAGCCGACCUGAGAGGGUGAUCGGCCACACUGGAACUGAGACACGGUCCAGACUCCUACGGGAGGCAGCAGUAGGGAAUCUUCCGCCAUGGGCGAAAGCUUGACGGAGCAACGCCGCGUGAGUGAUGAAGGUCUUCGGAUCGUAAAACUCUGUUAUUAGGGAAGAACAAGUGUGUAAGUAACUAUGCACGUCUUGACGGUACCUAAUCAGAAAGCCACGGCUAACUACGUG
This 497-nucleotide ribosomal RNA is filed under the name uncultured bacterium. RNAcentral describes it as "partial 16S ribosomal RNA". It matches the Rfam family "Bacterial small subunit ribosomal RNA", at positions 28 to 507 of the family's 1533-position model. The record is from RNAcentral.